UUUGCCGGUACCAUAUGAAUAAGCAUCGGCUAACUCCGUGCCAGCAGCCGCGGUAAUACGGAGGAUGCGAGCGUUAUCCGGAUUCAUUGGGUUUAAAGGGUGCGUAGGCGGAAUAUUAAGUCAGGGGUGAAAGUUUGUGGCUCAACCAUAAAAUUGCCUUUGAUACUGGUAUUCUUGAGUACAUUUGAGGUAGGCGGAAUGUGUUGUGUAGCGGUGAAAUGCUUAGAUAUAACACAGAACACCGAUUGCGAAGGCAGCUUACUAAACUGUCACUGACGCUGAUGCACGAAAGCGUGGGGAUCGAACAGGAUUAGAUACCCUGGUAG
RNAcentral lists this ribosomal RNA (326 nucleotides) under uncultured bacterium. Its description in RNAcentral is "bacterial SSU rRNA". It matches the Rfam family "Bacterial small subunit ribosomal RNA", at positions 468 to 793 of the family's 1533-position model. The record is from RNAcentral.